UAUAGGGGAUAAGUAGCUGAUCAGGACUCAGUGAGGAGCUUGUGCCUUUUACCGGUAGAUGACACGCACUCCAUUUAUUCCUAUGGGAGCGGCCAUGAUGCCCUAGAACUGUACCCUGGUGUUUCCCAACCAGGUUGCCUCCAGCUGUUGCAAAACUACAGCUCCCAGCAUGCCUGGACAGCUGAAGGCUAUUACCCAGCUCUCCUAGACUCCUGAAUGGCAGACUGACCCUAAUUUUGUAGUGCAGUGCUUCAUAACCAGCAUGCCUUCGGCUGUCCGGGCAUGCUGGGAGUUGUAGUUUAGCAUCAGCUGGAGGCACCCGGGUUGGGAAACACUGCCCUAUCGAAGGCUGUCCGGGCAUGCUGGGAGUUGUAGUUUUGCAACGGCUGGAGGCACACUGGUUGGGUAAACUCUGCUUUAAAGUGACUCCAGACGGCAGUUCUGGUUUCAUGGAUUCUAGCUGUUUCCGGAGCUGAGGGAGCGUUUAGUUCAGCGCGGCGUUGACAUUCAUACUGGAGGAAUGCGGAAAGGUUACACAGUAUGGAUUAACUGCAUAACACUCACUUGAUAAGUAAGAGCAUUGAUUACUAGGCCUCUGUUUGUUAUAACCCGGCUCUACGAUAAUCAAUACGGCGCAGCCAUGAGAUAUGAACAAUCCCCAUUAACCGGGGGGAUAUUACCUCUUAUUUUUCUCAUUUAAUACAACAAUGCGGCUCUGAGUGACCAUUGUGCGGGCCACGAAGAACGGACCCGUCGAGCCCUGAGAGGCACGUCCAGCCAGCUGGUGACUCUGACGGAAGAAAAUGGGAAAAAAUAAUGAACACUGCAAAUUGUAAGAUUUUUGGGGCCUGGAGAUGUGGUGCCAGCUUUGGCUUGUUGUCCUUGUUGGCUGUUCCCAAACCACGGAAUAAAGAAUGUACCAGGAAUGGAUGAACCAUGGACGGACAUCCCAUAGAAGAUCUCACGUGUGUUUGAUCCAAGAGGCGAGCGUUGGGUAGAAGGUUUAGGAUUUUAGCAAUAAUUUACCUCAGUAGACCAGCAGACCCAGUGGCAGUACAGCGCCAGCCGCCAUGUAAGACAAACGUUAACAAUAACUACGCAACGAACCUUGUGUCAACUGGGGGUUCAAUAGCUGAAGAUUGCUCUGUUGGGGUUCAGAUUGUAUGGUGGUCGUGUCAUGGUCUGGGGAGCUACUUUCUGGGAUACUUCGUUGUUGACCAAUUUGUAUCUCAGGUUUCGAGAUCUUCUGUAAAACAUGAAAGGGGUACUCCACUGCUCAGCGUUUGGAACAAACUGUUCAGCCCCCCAAUAUAUAAAGGGGCGACCAUUACAGUCACUGAAACUAGUCAAGUCCUGCACAUAGUCAAGUCAAG
Molecule: long non-coding RNA, 1373 nt
Organism: Hyla sarda
Lineage: Eukaryota; Metazoa; Chordata; Amphibia; Anura; Hylidae
Exons: 4
Source: RefSeq, a predicted model, not a curated record